This 468-nucleotide ribosomal RNA is filed under the name uncultured bacterium. RNAcentral describes it as "partial 16S ribosomal RNA". It matches the Rfam family "Bacterial small subunit ribosomal RNA", at positions 28 to 507 of the family's 1533-position model. The record is from RNAcentral.
GACGAACGCUGGCGGCGUGCUUAACACAUGCAAGUCGAACGGAAAGGCCCUGCUUUUGUGGGGUGCUCGAGUGGCGAACGGGUGAGUAACACGUGAGUAACCUGCCCUUGACUUUGGGAUAACUUCAGGAAACUGGGGCUAAUACCGGAUAGGAGCUCCUGCUGCAUGGUGGGGGUUGGAAAGUUUCGGCGGUUGGGGAUGGACUCGCGGCUUAUCAGCUUGUUGGUGGGGUAGUGGCUUACCAAGGCUUUGACGGGUAGCCGGCCUGAGAGGGUGACCGGCCACAUUGGGACUGGGAUACGGCCCAGACUCCUACGGGAGGCAGCAGUGGGGAAUAUUGCACAAUGGGCGGAAGCCUGAUGCAGCAACGCCGCGGGCGGGAUGACGGCCUUCGGGUUGUAAGCCGCUUUCGCCUGUGACGAAGCGUGAGUGACGGUAAUGGGUAAAGAAGCACCGGCUAACUACGUG